CUUGUCUAUUAAUUGUAGACCUGUAUGAAAGGCAAAACGAGGGCCUAUCUGUCUCUUGUAGUAAAUCAAUUAAACUGAUCUCCCAGUCCAAAAGCUGGGAUACCAACAUAAGACCAGAAGACCCUGUGAAGCUUAAACUAAACUAUUAAAUCCUAUAAUAGCUCCUUUCGGUUGGGGCGACCCUGGAAAAAAAAAGAACUUCCAAACAUACUGACUUUAUACUCACCAACCCAGGCCAACAAGCCUAACAACGACCCAGCACAGCUGAUAACUGAACCAAGUUACUCCAGGGAUAACAGCGCUAUCUUCUUCAAGAGCCCAUAUCAAAAAGAAGGUUUACGACCUCGAUGUUGGAUCAGGACAUCCUAAUGGUGCAGCCGCUAUUAAGGGUUCGUUUGUUCAACGAUUAACAGU
RNAcentral lists this ribosomal RNA (414 nucleotides) under Naja kaouthia (monocled cobra). RNAcentral describes it as "partial 16S ribosomal RNA". It matches the Rfam family "Bacterial large subunit ribosomal RNA", at positions 1968 to 2594 of the family's 2925-position model. Lineage: Eukaryota; Metazoa; Chordata; Lepidosauria; Squamata; Elapidae. The record is from RNAcentral.